UACGAAGGGGGCUAGCGUUGCUCGGAAUGACUGGGCGUAAAGGGCGCGUAGGCGGAUGGCACAGUCAGAUGUGAAAUUCCCGGGCUUAACCGUGGGGGCUGCAUUUGAUACGUGUGAUCUAGAGUGAGGAAGAGGGUCGUGGAAUUCCCAGUGUAGAGGUGAAAUUCGUAGAUAUUGGGAAGAACACCGGUGGCGAAGGCGGCGACCUGGUCCUUGACUGACGCUGAGGCGCGAAAGCGUGGGGAGCAAACAGG
RNAcentral lists this ribosomal RNA (254 nucleotides) under uncultured bacterium. RNAcentral describes it as "partial 16S ribosomal RNA". It matches the Rfam family "Bacterial small subunit ribosomal RNA", at positions 524 to 776 of the family's 1533-position model. The record is from RNAcentral.